This 502-nucleotide ribosomal RNA is filed under the name uncultured bacterium. RNAcentral describes it as "partial 16S ribosomal RNA". It matches the Rfam family "Bacterial small subunit ribosomal RNA", at positions 28 to 523 of the family's 1533-position model. The record is from RNAcentral.
GAUGAACGCUGGCGGCGUGCCUAAUACAUGCAAGUCGAACGAAUCUUCUUCGGAAGAUGAGUGGCGAACGGGUGAGUAAUGCGUAGGUAACCUGCCCCUGUGCGGGGGAUAACAGGAGGAAACUCCUGCUAAUACCGCAUAGCCAUGAGCACCGCAUGGAGCUCAUGCCAAAUAUCCUUUCGGGGAUAGCGCAGGGAUGGACCUAUGGCGCAUUAGCUGGUUGGCGGGGCAACGGCCCACCAAGGCAACGAUGCGUAGCCGGCCUGAGAGGGCGGACGGCCACAUUGGGACUGAGACACGGCCCAGACUCCUACGGGAGGCAGCAGUAGGGAAUUUUCGGCAAUGGGGGAAACCCUGACCGAGCAACGCCGCGUGAGCGAAGAAGGCCUUCGGGUCGUAAAGCUCUGUUGUAAAGGAAGAACGGCGCAUACAGGAAAUGGUAUGCGAGUGACGGUACUUUACCAGAAAGCCACGGCUAACUACGUGCCAGCCGCCGCAGUAA